AGAGUUUGAUCCUGGCUGAGAACGAACGCUGGCGGCAUGCCUAACACAUGCAAGUCGAACGCUAUCUUUGAUAGAGUGGCGCACGGGUGAGUAACGCGUGGGAACCUGCCUUUUUCUGCGGGACAACGGUUGGAAACGACCGCUAAUACCGCAUACGCCCUACGGGGGAAAGGUCCGCCGGAGAAAGAGGGGCCCGCGUUUGAUUAGCUUGUUGGUAGGGUAAUGGCCUACCAAGGCGACGAUCAAUAGCUGGUCUGAGAGGAUGAUCAGCCACACUGGGACUGAGACACGGCCCAGACUCCUACGGGAGGCAGCAGUGGGGAAUAUUGGACAAUGGGGGCAACCCUGAUCCAGCAAUGCCGCGUGUGUGAUGAAGGCCCUAGGGUUGUAAAGCACUUUCACUGGUGAAGAUGAUGACGGUAACCAGAGAAGAAGCCCCGGCUAACUUCGUGCCAGCAGCCGCGGUAAUACGAAGGGGGCGAGCGUUGUUCGGAAUUACUGGGCGUAAAGGGCGCGUAGGCGGCUCUUUAAGUUAGGCGUGAAAGCCCCGGGCUCAACCUGGGAACUGCGCUUAAGACUGGAGAGCUAGAAAACGGAAGAGGGUAGUGGAAUUCCCAGUGUAGAGGUGAAAUUCGU
Molecule: ribosomal RNA, 636 nt
Filed under: uncultured bacterium
Lineage: Bacteria
Description: bacterial SSU rRNA
Rfam family: Bacterial small subunit ribosomal RNA
Source: RNAcentral